This 545-nucleotide unclassified non-coding RNA is filed under the name Bombus terrestris (buff-tailed bumblebee). RNAcentral's name for it is "misc RNA ENSBTSG00005038213.1". The record is from RNAcentral. Lineage: Eukaryota; Metazoa; Arthropoda; Insecta; Hymenoptera; Apidae.
UGAUGCUAAAUGCGUUAAAAAUGUUCAUAAAAUCUAAGACUGGAAGCUAUUGUACUCGAAUGUCGUAUUGAGAGAUUAAAAUCGUUAAUUGUAUUAAUUUUUAUCGUCAUAUUCGUAUAGAAUUAUAUUAUCUUGUAUGUUCCUUGAUUAUGUUAUAAUAUUUCAACGUUGUUUUACAUUACAUUAAUAGAUACUUAUAUUUUCAUUUGCUCUAUUUUCAGGUGUACGUAUAUGUGUGUACGGGCGCACGCGCGUACCGAUGGCAAUGACAAUAAAUACUUGUACAUUCAGUACAAGAAUGUACUAUCUUUGUACCUCCUACUUCUUGCUGAAUUUUAAGCCGCAAUCAAAAUAUAUAAAUUUACUAUUUUUUAAACAAAAUAUUAAUCUAUACUCUUGAUUAUAUCAAUAAUAUGCAGUAAUUUACUAUUUAUUAAGACAAUUCACAUUAAGGAGAUUAAGUUAUAUUAGAGUGCAUUUCGCUAUUGAGUAAACCAAUCUAUAAAUGAUAAGUAUACAUAUGUGCAUGUACACAUUGCGAUUUC